Populus trichocarpa (black cottonwood) is the source of this 85-nucleotide non-coding RNA. NCBI's taxonomy places the organism in Eukaryota, Viridiplantae, Streptophyta, Magnoliopsida, Malpighiales, Salicaceae. The record is from Rfam.
GCCUCUAAUGAUGAUGAUUAUUAUACUUUCGUUCUUCCGAGUUGUACCAUGCGGAAAUAUUUUUGGAGACCUGAACUGAAGAGGC